CUACGGGGGGUGCAAGCGUUAAUCGGAAUUACUGGGCGUAAAGCGCGCGUAGGCGGUUUGCUCAGUCGGAUGUGAAAGCCCAGGGCUCAACCUUGGAACUACAUACGAUACUGGCAAACUAGAGUGUGAGAGAGGAUAGUGGAAUUUCCGGUGUAGCGGUGAAAUGCGUAGAUAUCGGAAGGAACAUCAGUGGCGAAGGCGACUGUCUGGCUCAACACUGACGCUGAGGUGCGAAAGCGUGGGUAGCAAACAGGAUUAGAUACCCUAGUAGUCC
Molecule: ribosomal RNA, 274 nt
Filed under: uncultured bacterium
Lineage: Bacteria
Description: partial 16S ribosomal RNA
Rfam family: Bacterial small subunit ribosomal RNA
Source: RNAcentral